Long non-coding RNA from Oxyura jamaicensis (ruddy duck), 376 nucleotides. RefSeq lists it as uncharacterized. The record is from RefSeq and is a predicted model, not a curated record. NCBI's taxonomy places the organism in Eukaryota, Metazoa, Chordata, Aves, Anseriformes, Anatidae. The transcript is spliced from 3 exons.
UCCCAGACUUGCAGGUUUGGGUUAGGAAGAUCAAACCAUUAGGGAAAUAGAGAAAAUGUCCUAGUCUGAACAUCCAAAUAGCGUCCCCAAUGUUUGCAGAACAACAGCUAAGGCCCUGCGGGGCAGCUUACAGGUGAGAAUGGGUAGGUUUCAGCUGGUAAGGGGAGACCAGCUGUUCCCCAUAUCUGUUCAUGGCUUUCAGCUGCAACCAGUGCAGUGAGUGGGCAGUGUGGGAGGCUGAGCUGUGAGCAGAGGCUUCAUGUGCGUGCCAGGAGAGGAAAAGAAAACAACACCUGGGAACAAAGUGAUCGGUGGUGGAGGGAUUUUUCUCUCCUGGGAAAAGACUGCAUGAUAGCAGGCAGUGGCUUUCACUGAA